Molecule: ribosomal RNA, 488 nt
Filed under: uncultured bacterium
Lineage: Bacteria
Description: partial 16S ribosomal RNA
Rfam family: Bacterial small subunit ribosomal RNA
Source: RNAcentral
GACGAACGCUGGCGGCGUGCUUAACACAUGCCAGUCGAACGGAAAGGCCCUGCUUUUGUGGGGUGCUCGAGUGGCGAACGGGUGAGUAACACGUGAGUAACCUGCCCUUGACUUUGGGAUAACUUCAGGAAACUGGGGCUAAUACCGGAUAGCAGCUCCUGCUGCAUGGUGGGGGUGGGAAAGUUUCGGCGGUUGGGGAUGGACUCGCGGCUUAUCAGCUUGUUGGUGGGGUAGUGGCUUACCAAGGCGUGGACGGGUAGCUGGCAUGAGAGGGUGACCGGCCACACUGGAACUGAGACACGGUCAAGACGCCUACGGGAGGCAGCAGUGGGGACUAUUGGACAAUGGGCGCGAGCCUGAUCCAGCCAUACCGCGUGUGUGAAGAAGGCCGUCGGGUGGUAAAGCCUUUUUGUUGGGAAAGAAAAGCAGCAGGUUAAUACCCCGCUGUUCUGACGGUACCCAAAGAAUAAGCACCGGCUAACUUCGUG